GAUGAACGCUGGCGGCGUGCUUAACACAUGCAAGUCGAGCGAAGCACUUUUGCGGAUUUUUUCGGAUUGAAGCAACUGUGACUGAGCGGCGGACGGGUGAGUAACGCGUGGGUAACCUGCCUCAUACAGGGGGAUAACAGUUGGAAACGGCUGCUAAUACCGCAUAAGCGCACAGUACCGCAUGGUACCGUGUGAAAAACUCCGGUGGUAUGAGAUGGACCCGCGUCUGAUUAGCUAGUUGGUGGGGUAACGGCCUACCAAGGCGACGAUCAGUAGCCGACCUGAGAGGGUGACCGGCCACAUUGGGACUGAGACACGGCCCAAACUCCUACGGGAGGCAGCAGUGGGGAAUAUUGCACAAUGGGGGAAACCCUGAUGCAGCGACGCCGCGUGAGCGAUGAAGUAUUUCGGUAUGUAAAGCUCUAUCAGCAGGGAAGAAAAUGACGGUAC
RNAcentral lists this ribosomal RNA (450 nucleotides) under uncultured bacterium. RNAcentral describes it as "bacterial SSU rRNA". It matches the Rfam family "Bacterial small subunit ribosomal RNA", at positions 28 to 478 of the family's 1533-position model. The record is from RNAcentral.